RNAcentral lists this ribosomal RNA (422 nucleotides) under uncultured bacterium. Its description in RNAcentral is "bacterial SSU rRNA". It matches the Rfam family "Bacterial small subunit ribosomal RNA", at positions 355 to 774 of the family's 1533-position model. The record is from RNAcentral.
UAAGGAAUAUUGGUCAAUGGACGCAAGUCUGAACCAGCCAUGCCGCGUGGAGGAUGAAGGUCCUCUGGAUUGUAAACUUCUUUUAUCUGGGACGAAACACUCCUAUUCUUAGGGGCCUGACGGUACCAGAUGAAUAAGCACCGGCUAGCUCCGUGCCAGCAGCCGCGGUAAUACGGAGGGUGCAAGCGUUAUCCGGAUUCACUGGGUUUAAAGGGUGCGUAGGUGGGUAUGUAAGUCAGUGGUGAAAUCCCCGAGCUUAACUUGGGAACUGCCAUUGAUACUAUAUAUCUUGAAUACCGUAGAGGUAAGCGGAAUAUGUCAUGUAGCGGUGAAAUGCUUAGAUAUGACAUGGAACACCAAUUGCGAAGGCAGCUUACUAUGCGGUGAUUGACACUGAGGCACGAAAGCGUGGGUAGCAAACA